UAUAUAAUUUCAACGCUCUUCAAUUCCUCCCACGCACAAAAACUCUUCUUCACAACUCAUUCUCAUUCUCUCUGUUCUCUAAUUUCUCUCUUCCCAUCUCAUACAAUUCAUCCUUGUCUCUUCCAACCUUAAAUCUUAAAGUUCAAUUUUCUCACCAUCAUCCAAUUCAUUCAAAGCUCUAAAUUCUCACAACAGAUAUGAUGAAGAGGUAAUUAAGGGUUGUUACUUGUGAGUGCAAUUCAAAGAUGAGUGGGCAUGGUGGGCAUAAAUGGGCUUAGCACUAGGCUUUGAUUUGUGGGUCCAAUGUGAAUCAUUGCAUUUGCAUCGUGGCUUGCAAUAACCAUCACAAGAAAGCAACAAAAUGUGGACCCAAUAUAUGUUCUUUAGUAACUAGGGCUUCCUUUGUUAAUAGGAUACCCGUUGCUACAACUAUUAUUAUUAUUAUUAUUAUUAUUAUUAUUAUUAUUA
Long non-coding RNA from Lathyrus oleraceus (garden pea), 468 nucleotides. RefSeq lists it as uncharacterized. The transcript is spliced from 2 exons. The record is from RefSeq and is a predicted model, not a curated record. Lineage: Eukaryota; Viridiplantae; Streptophyta; Magnoliopsida; Fabales; Fabaceae.